Molecule: ribosomal RNA, 305 nt
Filed under: uncultured bacterium
Lineage: Bacteria
Description: bacterial SSU rRNA
Rfam family: Bacterial small subunit ribosomal RNA
Source: RNAcentral
UGUUCCUACGGGACGCAGCAGUGGGGAAUAUUGCACAAUGGGGGAAACCCUGAUGCAGCAACGCCGCGUGAGUGAAGAAGUAUUUCGGUAUGUAAAGCUCUAUCAGCAGGGAAGAAGAAAGACGGUACCUGACUAAGAAGCCCCGGCUAACUACGUGCCAGCAGCCGCGGUAAUACGUAGGGGGCAAGCGUUAUCCGGAUUUACUGGGUGUAAAGGGAGCGCAGACGGCAGCACAAGUCUGGAGUGAAAUCCCGGGGCUUAACCCCGGAACUGCUUUGGAAACUGUGCGGCUGGAGUGCAGGAGG